Molecule: long non-coding RNA, 332 nt
Organism: Helianthus annuus (common sunflower)
Lineage: Eukaryota; Viridiplantae; Streptophyta; Magnoliopsida; Asterales; Asteraceae
Exons: 2
Source: RefSeq, a predicted model, not a curated record
UUGCAAUCAUAGGGCUUCUAUCCACAAUCGCUCAUUCAAUUCGCUUCGAGAUCGAAUCGGGUCACACAAAGUGUAUAGCAGAAGAUAUCAAAAGCAGUUCGAUGACUGUUGGUCAGUACUCAAUUGUUAACCCUAAUGAAGGACAACCUUUACGGCUUUACCUGAAUCUCACAGAAUCACUUUCAGAGCUCGGGAGAAAGAAGCAGAUGGAUUAGGGUUAGAAAUUGGGGGAGAUAUGUUACAUAUGUAAUUUUUUGUUUUAUUUAUUAAGAAAUAUUUAAAUAAAAGCAUGAAAUGACCAUGAUACCCUUAAGUGAACGGAUUUAACUUAA